This 330-nucleotide ribosomal RNA is filed under the name uncultured eukaryote. RNAcentral's name for it is "partial 18S ribosomal RNA". It matches the Rfam family "Eukaryotic small subunit ribosomal RNA", at positions 1470 to 1796 of the family's 1831-position model. The record is from RNAcentral.
CCCUUAGAUGUUCUGGGCUGCACGCGCGCUACACUGAUACUUUCAGCGAGUCCACCACCUUGCCUGAGAGGGUGGGGUAACCUCUGGAAAGUGUAUCGUGAUGGGGAUCGAUUAUUGUAAUUAUUAAUCUUCAACGAGGAAUUCCUAGUAAGCAUGUGUCAUCAGCCCGUGCUGAUUACGUCCCUGCCCUUUGUACACACCGCCCGUCGCUCCUACCGAUUGAAUGUUAAGGCGAACCCUCCGGAAUCGCGGUUCGGAUUGGUUUUCCUUUCUGAACCAACGAUGAAGUUGUGUAAGCCUUGACAUUUAGAGGAAGGAAAAGUCGUAACA